AAAAUAAUAUAAUAUAGUUUUGGUAUGGAUAUUCUCUUUUAUUGUCUUAAAAGUUAUUUUUGUAAAAAUGGACAGAAUGUAUUUUUCUUUUUUGGCCUCCGUGUUCAUUCAUUGAAAAAAGUGGACAUCGUUUUUAGAUUUUUCUCGUAGAAACUAUCAAGAAGCUCUACUCGUAUUCUAUUUUAAGAAACAAUCACAUUUUCUUAUUUGGACGGAUUGUAUUUUCCUUUUUCGGCCUCCGUAUUCAUCAUUAGAAAAAAUGGAUAUCGUUUUUGAAUGCCUCUUAGUCAAAACUUUUAAGAAGCUCUACUCAUUCGCGCAUUUCGAUAUAGUUGACGUCAGAUCUUGUCAGUGCUUUGGCAGGUGGGUGAGAAUUUAUCUAACUAUCGAUUCAGCGUCGUUGUAACUUCAUUCUUAUUCCUAAAUUUUUAAUUAAUUAUGUAACUUUGAUUUUAUGUUCCGCAUGAUUUUCCAAUUGUCUUUUGGUGAUCCUAUGAAUCGUUUGCUGAUUUCGGGCACAUUCAGACACAUUUAUUGUGUGUUGUAGGGCUGAGGAUGAUAUGGAACUCUGGUGAUUCACAUAGUUUAUGGAAGUGUCAAUUAAUGUAUGAUGUGAGAGUGAAUUAGAAUUCAUGAGUGUAAAAUAAGUUAAAUUAACGUAAAAAUCGUAUUUUCCGCAAUUCAUCUUAAGACUUGCUAUGUGUGGCUGAAGCCAUUUGAAUAAUAAUUGACUAAUAAGAACACUUAAAAUUUGGUGAGCUUAAAACAUGAGUUAGAAACUUUUAUAUGGUGUAUUAUUAAAAUGGGUUUUAGCUACAAUCCUCUAGUAGAUGCUUUAAGAUAACAAAAACAAAUAAAUAAUGAAUAAUCAUUCCCUACAUGUAUUUGCAAUGUGUGCAUAUUAAUUUAGCAGACAAAGAGUUAUAUUAAUGACUAUUCAUCUUAUAGUAGCAUAAAUUUCAAAUAAAAUAGAGACAAUAAUCUUAGUGUUUCUUACACACAAAGAUUAUUAUAUCCAAUUAUACAAGUAAUUGUGACCACUGAGGGAGGAAGACAUAAUAUUGCAAGUAUAACGUUAUGUAGUUCAAAGUCAAAUGUUACCUUGAUUUAAGCUUUAUCCUCUGAUUAUAGGAAGAAUACAAAGGAACAACAAGACUUUACUUCAUUUAGUUGUUUGAUUUUAACGCAAGUGCUCUAACAUCUGCCUCCAGCGAAGUAAUGUUAUGUUUUGACUGACUCUUAUAACACAAGCAAUAUUCUAGUUCUAAUGACUCUUGAAAUACAUCAUAUAUUCUGUUUCAAUAGUCUCUAAUGAAUGCAGUUAUGCUCUGGUCAUCUGCCUCUGAUACGAUUGAUAAAACAGGUAAUCAAUUGCCUCUAGUAAGCUUGUCAAGCAAGUGAUUGUCUGCCACUAGUAAUCACAUCAUCACUUCAGGCUUCUGAUCAUCUAACUCUAACUUAUGUCGUAUGCUCUAAAGGAAAUCAAUGAUCUAAAAGAAGUCAACGCUCUGAUGCAAUUUAAUGUUCCAAAGAAGACAAAGCAAUUGCACAUACUCUUAUCAACAUCUUAAAUCUACUACUUGUUUGAAAGUCUUCAAGACAAGAUCUGAUCAUAUUAUCCUCUACUUUGCUGACCUCAUAAUCAAGAUACAUAAAAUCGAUCACGAAGUUAUAUAUGGAUAAAUAUUAAAGAUUGAUCUGCCUGAAAUGGUGAUUGAAGAUUUCCAACGGUAAUAUUCUCCACAAACAUUAUUAUCCAAUUUAAGAAAAACAUACUCAGACCAUUAGAACUAUGAGAGAGAAAAACAUAUGUGUUAAGAAGAAAAUUUGAAAAAUGCAAGAACGCAUCAAAAGAAAAUAAUGUAUGAAAUAUCCUCUCAAUAGAGAGUUAUUAGAAUUUAUGUAAAUCAGUAAAAGUGUUCUCUCACAUUUGUAUUGAUAUAAGACUUGAUAUGUAACAUUCUCUCAAUGAGAGUUAGAAUCCUAAAAAUAAACUUUGUGACAAAUCAGACACAAACUAGAACUGAUUUAAAUCAACCUGAUAGUGGCAAUAACCUUCUCACGCGUAAGAGGUAUGUGAAAAGGUACCACGACUCUCAUGAAUCUCAACGGCAAGAUGCCAGAAAGUUGAAGAAAGAUUUGAUGAAGACAACUUGGAAAGGCUAGAGAAAAAUACUAAAAGGCUGAAAAGGAAGAUUAAAGAAUAUUUUUAUGCUAUUUAUGGAAAUAGUGGAUUAAGUUACGACUGUACUGAAGCAAAAUCUCUUUGUAAAUGGAGAACUAGAUAUAGG
Molecule: long non-coding RNA, 2291 nt
Filed under: Cicer arietinum (chickpea)
Lineage: Eukaryota; Viridiplantae; Streptophyta; Magnoliopsida; Fabales; Fabaceae
Description: long non-coding RNA (CARI_LNC002671)
Source: RNAcentral